This is a long non-coding RNA of Symphalangus syndactylus (siamang), 1463 nucleotides long. RefSeq lists it as uncharacterized. NCBI's taxonomy places the organism in Eukaryota, Metazoa, Chordata, Mammalia, Primates, Hylobatidae. The record is from RefSeq and is a predicted model, not a curated record.
UUAGAAGGGGAGCUCUUGGCCUACCUGUGAUGCAAGAUCAGCAAGGCAAUCAGGUCCUCUUCGGAUUCCAGUGUCAUGCAUCAAACCACACCAUGGUGUGGCUAGGACCCAACCUGGUACCAGAAAUGAAGGAAAUAACCCUGCAGGACCCACAGCCCCAGACGAUGCAGCUUCCUUGGACAACACAGGAUGCAAAGCUGGAAAACAAGAUGUAACCACUACGCCUGACAAACCUGUUGCUGCACCCAUCUGUACUCGUCAAUCAACAAAACCUGAUGCAAAAACAGAAAAGUGGGAGAUGUAGGAGAUCAAUCAGGGUGAUGGGAGAAGGUAUAAGGAAAGACGCAAACCUUGAAAGGUUGGAAGGUCUUGCAAAAGCUUCAGGAGAGAAUAAAGCUGAAGGCAGCUAAUUCUCUUACCCUGAGGCUAAGGGCAAGGACUAGGUAACAAGGCAGUGUAAAGAAAUCUAUCUAGAUAAGUUUAUUUACUUAUGUCAUCCAGAGAACAACCUUUGAUCAUCUGCAUGCAAGACUGCUCCCUGCAAGGGGGUAUGACAAUGCUAAUUACCCACAGAUUGUGUUGGCUCCAGGCCUUUGACACUAUACCAGUACUGAAUAAAUACAAGCGGCCCCAGCUUACUGGGGCUGCUAACCCUCUUCAGCCCCUAGUGCUGGCAGUCCCCUAGCCUGCUCUUUCACUGGAUACUUGUGUCUGAGUACUCCUUUCUUCUGUCAGUCGGCCAGGGUCUGCGGGAUGGACCUGACAAUAGAGUGGAGGAAGUAAGAUGUUGUAACUCUGAUAGUUACAAUGCUUUUCCUCUAUGUUUCUGAGAUAAGAAUGUUAAUAUGAGGUUAAUAUAAGAUUAACCAAAGCUCUUCCUACAGAAGUGUCUAAGGAGGCCGUAACUACUUAAAGGUCAAUGUCAUUGUUCUAAACCAUAAAGUCAGCAAUAGCCUUUGUAACCACAGCUAUCCCAGAGGUAAGAAUUACCAACCCAGAAUAGAAUCCACUGGCUUCCAAUCAGUAUUCCCCUUUCUGAGAGGCAUCAUAACUGCUUGACCACAGGGAACACAAAUACCUCAGGGAGAGCAUUUGGUUGGCAGGUAAGUUUUAAUAAUUAUCUUAAGUUUUAUAAUUUUUAGUUCCUCUUAAUGAACCAAGGAGUGAUCUGAAGGAAACUUGUGACCUGAAAUCAGUUUGUGCUUCAUCUGUUGGUGACCAAAAAAGGAAAUCUUAAUCAUCCUUUGAAAGUAAAAUUGAUAAUCCUUGAAUAUUUCUGUAGAAUAUUUCACUCUUUGUAAAUUAUGGUAGGCCAAUCAAAUGUGUGAGAAAGAAGGGAGAUUCUCCAGAUGCAAGAAGAGAGAUCAUCCAGCUUAGGACAAAUGAAAGUAGCCAAAAGUAGGCAGGAAAGGGAAGGGAAGGUUGCUGUUCAAGGAGGGAGAUGAGGUGAGGUGGUAGUUGGG